This 256-nucleotide ribosomal RNA is filed under the name uncultured bacterium. RNAcentral's name for it is "partial 16S ribosomal RNA". It matches the Rfam family "Bacterial small subunit ribosomal RNA", at positions 521 to 776 of the family's 1533-position model. The record is from RNAcentral.
UAAUACGUAGGGAGCAAGCGUUAUCCGGAUUUAUUGGGCGUAAAGCGCGCGUAGGCGGUCUGUUAAGCGAGGUGUGAAAUCCGGGGGCUCAACCCGCGGCCUGCAUCUCGAACUGGCAGACUUGAGUGUGGUAGAGGAAAGUGGAAUUCCCGGUGUAGCGGUGAAAUGCGCAGAUAUCGGGAGGAACACCAGUGGCGAAGGCGGCUUUCUGGGCCACCACUGACGCUGAGGCGCGAAAGCUAGGGGAGCGAACAGG